UGAUCAUUUCCCCAGAUACCAUUACUAUCAUUGCCAUGCUAGUUUAUCGCUUCUAUCGUUUAUGUCUCGUUGCCUACCACAUGUUAAAUACCAUCCUCUCAACAAUGCCAUGAAAACCUUCAACCUGUUCAACCUAGCAAACCACUGAUUGGCUAUGUUACUGCUUGCUUAACCCUGUUGAUAGCGUUGCUAGUUGUAGGUGUAGUUGCUUCCAUGUGAAAGCAUGGGUUCCUUGUCAUAUCACCAUAUUUAAUGUUAUAUAAUUUAAUGCACCUAUAUACUUGGCAAAAGGUGGAAGGCUCGGCAUUUCUAGCCUGGUGUUUUGUUCCACCUUUGCCCCCUUUAGUUACCGGCUACCGGUGUUAUGUUCCAUAAACGAGCGCUCCUAACACGAUCGGGGUCGUUAUGGGGACCCCCUUGAUAAUUCGUUUUAGAUUAAAGCAGGUCUGGCAAGGCCCAAC
RNAcentral lists this long non-coding RNA (461 nucleotides) under Hordeum vulgare. RNAcentral describes it as "long non-coding RNA (HVUL_LNC019278)". Lineage: Eukaryota; Viridiplantae; Streptophyta; Magnoliopsida; Poales; Poaceae. The record is from RNAcentral.